AGAGAGUAUUUUAGUUAAGAGG
RNAcentral lists this small nuclear RNA (22 nucleotides) under Arabidopsis thaliana (thale cress). Its description in RNAcentral is "snRNA_12974". Lineage: Eukaryota; Viridiplantae; Streptophyta; Magnoliopsida; Brassicales; Brassicaceae. The record is from RNAcentral.